AUGAUUUAAUGGUUACUCCUAAAACAAUAAAAGCAAGCUUUCUACAAUUACUGUCCUUGUCCACAGCUUAGGAAAGACACUGGAGACAGACUUAGUUGGCCCAUUUUCACUCCAGGCUCCGUCUCUUGGGACCUGGGUGAUCCUGAGCAAGUUGGUUGAUUUUACCACCUGAGCAGCUGUGACAAGACCAAGGACAGACUGGGCUGAACUGUGGCUACCCCAUGACCUGGGCUCAUGGACAGGGACAUCUUUCAUUCAUACCGAAGGAUUCUGUUCAGCAAUCUUCAGUGGGUGGAGCCCUCAGCUUGAAAGAAGGAGAAAGUAGAAGGGAAACGUUGGGGCUUGUGUAAGCUUUAAGCCUGACCACACGCA
RNAcentral lists this long non-coding RNA (372 nucleotides) under Fukomys damarensis (Damara mole-rat). RNAcentral describes it as "lncRNA (ENSFDAG00000029429.1)". The record is from RNAcentral. Lineage: Eukaryota; Metazoa; Chordata; Mammalia; Rodentia; Bathyergidae.